RNAcentral lists this long non-coding RNA (3809 nucleotides) under Nicotiana benthamiana. RNAcentral's name for it is "long non-coding RNA (NBEN_LNC028742)". Lineage: Eukaryota; Viridiplantae; Streptophyta; Magnoliopsida; Solanales; Solanaceae. The record is from RNAcentral.
ACUAUUUAACUGUCCGAACUACCCCCCACCCCCGCUCAUCGUCCUUAACACACCCUCAGAGACCCUUCUCCGUCUCCGCCGUCUGCCGUCGCCGGAAAUCGCCCACGGGAUGGCGGUGAGUCUCCGUUCCCACCCAACAUUACACCCUUGAAUAUCCUCUUCCCCCCUCAUCUCAAACCCCUUACUAUCUUCCCUUGAAUCUCAUCCCAAUUCCUCGAAUAAUCAAAACCGUCAUCGUUAUCUCUGCCGCACACAAGGGCCACCUCCAAACGACCCAAAAUCUACACCCCAGGCUCCUCUCCUCCUUCUCUUUCCAUAUCUAGCCUUAGCUUCCCUCAAAUCCCCACCGAAAUCUUCGAAUAUUAAAUCAAAACCCCAGCCAAAAUCCUAGUUCGUCCAAACUCGCUCAAACUCACACCCUACACUCUCCUUACCCUCAUCUGCCUAAAUCCCAAAUCAAUUUCCCUCAAAUCCAACUCAAACCCUACAAAUUUCAAAUCAAGGGUUUUCAGAGCUCAAACUAUUUUGGAAUGUCAAGAACUCAGAUAUUUUUUUAAUUAGUGUUAUAUGUUUUAAUAAAUAUAUAACAUUAAUUAAAAAAUUAAUUUCGAAAGUCUAUCAAAAUGAAGAUCAAAACCAGUGAGUUUUCUAUUUUUUAUUUUUGUUCUUGUUGGAUAAGUCUGGCUCCCUGUUGCAUCAUUUUGAUUCAUUUUUACUUUUCUUUGUUUAAUUGAUUCCCAUGUUGAUUGUUAUUUGUGAUUCCAUUUAGUUUUAUUCAUGAUCAAUUCCUGUUAUCCAUGAUUUUAUUCAUGUUUAUUGAUUUUGUUUAGCUUUUAUUCGUUGAUUCUGUUAUCCUUUUCUUAAUAACUCUGUUCGUUUUUUUUGGUUCAUAAUUCUGAUUAGUUAAUCUUGUGUUAGUUUAUUUUUUCUUUAAUCGUUUAAUUUAGUUUAGUAUAAUGCGAAUUAGUUAAUUCAUGACCUAAAGUGUUAUGUUGAUUGUUGCUUGUUGAUUUUGUUCAAUUAAUAGUUCAGUAGGAGUUUGAAUUAGGAUUAGUCUUCAGUCUUGUUUAACAGUUGAAAAUUCACUCUUAGAGCUUAUAAAUCUGUUUGGUUAUAGCUGUAGUAGGUUAGUAAUUUUAGUUUAAGCUCAGAGGUAAUUUGGGUAUUUAGAAUAGGGUAGGAAUAUUGUAGUUAAAGCUAGAACCCUCUAGAAUCCUCUAAAAUAGGGCCUUUGUUAUAAUUCCAAAAAAUUAGAGCACUUACUUGAGUAACAAGUCAAAAAUUAAAGGACAAUAUAAGUAAAAUUGAAAUUUUAAAAGAGGGACUAAAGGGUAAAGUUGAAAAAUUGAUAUUUCCUUAGCUUUGCCUAUAAAAGGCAAUCACUAGUGCCUUCACUAACAAGUUUUUGAACCCUGAAAAUUUCCAAAAAGUUUUUCAGCCUCUAAAAUCCCCCCCAAAAGUGUUCAAUAAGUUUCUAUCUGAAACUUGAAUUUCAAAUUCAAAAUUCUUCAAAAAAUACAAAAAAUAACAGAAAAUCUAAAAUAAAUCCCAGAAUACUGUUUUAUUAAAGCUUUUUCUUAGAUUAGUGUAAUUUGAAUUUUUUUAUAUAAGGUAAAAGCCGACUUGAAAAUAUCUGGUUUUGGCUGCUGAAAUUCUGAAAUCCUAGGCUUAAUUUCGAGUUUUAGAGAUUGAUUUGCAUUUCUAGCUCAACGUUUGGUUGCUGAAGUUUUUUCUGAAGUUCUUGGGCCAAUUUUGAGUCUAUUCGGGUCCAAUCAGAUCUAUUGCGUGUGUCUAUUAUUUUAAAGUUUUGCAAAUCAUUCCUGGAUGUUGUGAAGUCAUUUUGGUUUUGAAAUUGCCCCUAUUGUCGUUGAUGAGUCCUGCUGUAGACAUCUGCUGCUGACUCCUUUUGCUUCUUCUUUAAUCAUAAAUUCCAGGUAUUCUCUAAUUUUCAAUGUGUGAAGACUUGAAUCAACCAUGUGACUGAAUAUUUGAAGAACAUGAUAUGCUGUUCAUACCUUUCUCAUCGAAGAUUUUGAAUUCUAGAUCACGUAAUAAUAAUUGAAUUUUAAAUUACAUGAACACUUCCUGAGUUGUACCUAAUUGGACUGUAUCUGGACUGUAUGAGCUACUGUUUUCUCAGAUUUGUAUGAGCAUUAUAAGUUAAACACUAGUUGUACUUAUUUUCGUUGUGGGUUGAUAGAACAAUUUCAUGAUUAGUUGAAGUUAAUUUCCUGUUCACUGCUUUAUACAUCUGUGUAAAAAAUGACUCAGUCACCAGAUGAAAUUUCCAGUAAUUAUUUUCAUUUUUAAUUAGUGAUAGAGCUAUUUGGAAUACUAAAUAAGUAUGUUAGUAAAUUUGAAGGUCAUAAUAGUUAAAAAUAUAGUCAAGCUGUUUAGUUUAUGCAUUAGAGGUUUACAUGCAUGGGUAUUUUGUUAAAUUCAGUUCAUAUUUCCAUUUUUUUUACCCUUAGUGAUAAACGAAGUUAAAACUGUUGUUGAUAUCCAGAAGCGCACCAGUAGACAGAUAGAUAAAGAAAUAUGAGCUUUAGAAUUAAAAAUCAAAUCUGUUCGGGUUAGAUGUCAAACUAUUUUAGGUUUUAUUGACAUGACUAAGUUUAAUGAGAGUCGAAAUUCCAUGUGUAAAGGAUUAAAAUAGAAAUCAGUACUUCAAUGUAGAAAUUGUCAACAUUCAAAUAAGUGUGUUCAGAUUUAAGAUCGUCAGGCGUCAAUGUGAAUAAGUUUGGAAUAUGUAAGUUAUUUGCAAAUUGUUAAAUAUUAAGUUUGGGCCUGAACUCUGUCUGUACGAAGCCCAACUUGAACUUGAUUGUGUAUUUUUCUUACUGGGCUAAGCGUGAGGCUCAAAGCAAUUGCUGAAAUGUUGAAUGAAAGUCAAGGACCUAAGUAUAAUAGUUCUUAAACAAUACUAAUUAAUUAAGCCCUUUUAGAGACAAAUCCAAUAGAAAAUAAUAGUUUGCUUUAGGAUAUCCUUAAUAGUCGCUUUAGGUGCGCCUUUUAAUAAUUUUACCUUCCUAAAUACGGUGUGUAUUUCCUGUAACCCAAAUCCAAAUCCCAAAAUGUUGAAUAAGAGUGUGUCGAGGAUACAGGUGCAUUUCAUGUGACGUGAUCCAAUAACACGUUCUUAAACGAUGUUCACUUUCUAAAAAUAAAAUUCAAUUAAAAGCGGUUAAAUAAUUCUAAAAUUUCACUAUAGGAUGACAUGUUAAAAUCAAAUUCUAGCCAUUUAUAAUAAUUUAAGCGACUUUGCUAGAACCACAGGAUCCGUGGGUGCCUAACACCUUCCCUCGGGUCAACAUAAUUCCUUAUUCACAUUUUCUGGUUCGCAACUUGGGAUUCAACCGAUGACUUGGAACACUAUAAAUCUUCCAAGUGGAGACUCUGAACUUUUAAUAAAUAAAUCCCGUUUCGAUUGUCCUUUAAUUGGAAAAUCACCCUUAUAGCCUUAUGGGGUGUGGUAAAAAGGAGGUGUGACAGCUCUGGCGACUCUGCUGGGGACACAAACCCAAAAAGUUCGGUUCAAGGUUUAAGGUUCGAGCUUAGUAUAAAUAUUAUAUUUGGCUUUAUCUGAUUUUCCUACCUGUUCCAUGCUAUACGUGCUAAAUGUUUCAUUGCUUUGACAUUUUUUGAAUUGUAUAUAUAAACUGUUACGAAUCCCUUCCUCUCUCUAAGUCUUCUACGUCAUAGAGAAGGGUGCACUUCGUGUAGCUUCUCUUCUGUUUAGAGUCUAUACGGUUCAAAAAAGAAUUGUGAAUCAAUGUAUAGAUUCCAGUCCUCUUUCUUUUUUUCUAGNN